CCUUGCAGAAGGCACAGUGCUCUGUAAUCAGGCACUUUGGUGGCUGGAUACAGCUGUUCUGUGGAGUUUUUGAGGAACAGAAAGCUAUGCCAAAAGCAGCACGAGACGCAGAAGAGGACUGGAAGAUGCUCUGUCCUGCUUUUGCCUUGACCCUGCUGCCCUUUCUUGAGUGACUGAAGAAGCUGACAAGACACAGGAAGAAACUACUGAUGGAAGGUGGCCAGAUAACAGAAACUACACCACAGUACUGUGACAGAGUUUGAAUAAGAGGGCACUGUUUCUUGGAAACUGCUGGAAACAUUUAUCUCCCCUUCUUUUGGGCUGAAACUGUGAGUGUUCUGCACCCUUGCUCUGCACCUCCUCUUUGUUUUCCCCUUCUUGUGAUUUAUUGGGCUGGGUUCUGUGGCUGCUUCUUGGCUGAUUGCAGCUAAGGUAUGUAAAUUGCUUUUUAACAGCUAAUAUGCACCCACACUCCUGAAAAGAAAAAAAAAAAAGGCAAAAUAAUAUUGUCAACAGUGAGUUAUAGGAGAUCAAGAAAACAUCCAGAGGUGAAAGUCAGUGGCUGGCUGGCGAAGUCCUGCAUACUGUCACAGCUGUGUUCAGAAUAAUCCAAGUGGAAAGCAA
This 624-nucleotide long non-coding RNA is filed under the name Cyanistes caeruleus (blue tit). RNAcentral describes it as "lncRNA (ENSCCEG00000000560.1)". The record is from RNAcentral. Lineage: Eukaryota; Metazoa; Chordata; Aves; Passeriformes; Paridae.